AUCUCGAUAAAAUUUAUAUGUGACCACAUGAUAAAUAUCAGCUUUCGAUUAAAUUAAAAAUUAUCAAAAUCGGUACACCCAGUAAAAAGUUAUUACGGAUUUUCGAGAGUUUCCCUCGAUUCCUCUGGGAUCCCAUCAUCAGAUCCUGGUUUCCUUAUCACGGUACCAAACUAGAGAUAUCCCCUUUCCAACAAAAAAAGAAUUAUCAAGAUCGGUACAUCCAGUAGAAAGUUAUGCGGUAUAAUACAACGUAGGUCGACGAAAAAAGCGUCAAGUAAAAACGCAUUAUUAGAUAUAACUCAAAAA
RNAcentral lists this unclassified non-coding RNA (306 nucleotides) under Melitaea cinxia (Glanville fritillary). RNAcentral describes it as "misc RNA ENSMCXG00005001657.1". Lineage: Eukaryota; Metazoa; Arthropoda; Insecta; Lepidoptera; Nymphalidae. The record is from RNAcentral.